This 72-nucleotide transfer RNA is filed under the name Pseudomonadota bacterium. RNAcentral describes it as "tRNA-Thr". It matches the Rfam family "tRNA". Rfam says of the family: Transfer RNA (tRNA) molecules are approximately 80 nucleotides in length. Their secondary structure includes four short double-helical elements and three loops (D, anti-codon, and T loops). RNAcentral also lists the same sequence under 2 other names. Lineage: Bacteria; Pseudomonadati; Pseudomonadota. The record is from RNAcentral.
GCCUAUGUAGCUCAGGGGUAGAGCAUUCCCUUGGUAAGGGAAAGGUCAUGAGUUCAAAUCUCAUCAUAGGCU